RNAcentral lists this ribosomal RNA (496 nucleotides) under uncultured bacterium. RNAcentral's name for it is "partial 16S ribosomal RNA". It matches the Rfam family "Bacterial small subunit ribosomal RNA", at positions 28 to 506 of the family's 1533-position model. The record is from RNAcentral.
GAUGAACGCUGGCGGCGUGCCUAAUACAUGCAAGUCGAGCGAACAGACGAGGAGCUUGCUCCUCUGACGUUAGCGGCGGACGGGUGAGUAACACGUGGAUAACCUACCUAUAAGACUGGGAUAACUUCGGGAAACCGGAGCUAAUACCGGAUAAUAUAUUGAACCGCAUGGUUCAAUAGUGAAAGACGGUUUUGCUGUCACUUAUAGAUGGAUCCGCGCCGCAUUAGCUAGUUGGUAAGGUAACGGCUUACCAAGGCAACGAUGCGUAGCCGACCUGAGAGGGGGAUCGGCCACACUGGAACUGAGACACGGUCCAGACUCCUACGGGAGGCAGCAGUAGGGAAUCUUCCGCAAUGGGCGAAAGCUUGACGGAGCAACGCCGCGUGAGUGAUGAAGGUCUUCGGAUCGUAAAACUCUGUUAUUAGGGAAGAACAAAUGUGUAAGUAACUAUGCACGUCUUGACGGUACCUAAUCAGAAAGCCCCGGCUAACUACGU